This is a small nuclear RNA of Sapajus apella (tufted capuchin), 107 nucleotides long. NCBI's taxonomy places the organism in Eukaryota, Metazoa, Chordata, Mammalia, Primates, Cebidae. The record is from RefSeq and is a predicted model, not a curated record.
GUGCUUGCUUCAGCAGCACAUAUACUAAAAUUGGAGCCAUACAGAGAUGGUUAGCAUGGUCCCUCUGCAGGGAUGACAUGUACAUUUGUGAAGCAUUCCAUAUUUAA